Molecule: ribosomal RNA, 443 nt
Filed under: uncultured bacterium
Lineage: Bacteria
Description: partial 16S ribosomal RNA
Rfam family: Bacterial small subunit ribosomal RNA
Source: RNAcentral
CCUACGGGGGGCAGCAGUGGGGAAUAUUGGACAAUGGGGGGAACCCUGAUCCAGCGACGCCGCGUGAGUGAAGAAGUAUUUCGGUAUGUAAAGCUCUAUCAGCAGGGAAGAAAGAAAUGACGGUACCUGACUAAGAAGCCCCGGCUAACAACGUGCCAGCAGCCGCGGUAAUACGUAGGGGGCAAGCGUUAUCCGGAUUUACUGGGUGUAAAGGGAGCGUAGACGGCGAUGCAAGUCUGAAGUGAAAGGCGGGGGCUUAACCCCGGAACUGCUUUGGAAACUGUGCGGCUGGAGUGCAGGAGGGGUAAGCGGAAUUCCUAGUGUAGCGGUGAAAUGCGUAGAUAUUAGGAGGAACACCGGUGGCGAAGGCGGCUUACUGGACUGUAACUGACGUUGAGGCUCGAAAGCGUGGGGAGCAAACAGGAUUAGAUACCCCUGUAGUC